CCAUCUGAGUUCUGCCUUAACUGGUCCUUACUGGUCCCACCACCCCAUUCCACGUUCCAGUGACCCGUACUGGUUUAUACUGGUCUAUCCUGGUUUAUACUGGUCUAUACUGGUCUAUACUGGUUUGUACUAGUCUGUACUGGUCUGACCUUGAUGGAGAUGCUGAAGUGCCCCCAACCCCCUUAACUGGUCCUUACUGUCCCACCACCCCAUUCCGCAUUCCAGUGACCCGUACUGGUUUAUACUGGUUUAUACUGGUCUAUCCUGGUUUAUACUGGUUUAUACUGGUCCAUACUGGUUUCUAUUGGUCUGUACUGGUCUGACCUUGAUGGACAUGCUGAAGUGCCCUCAACCCCCUUAACUGGUCCUUACUGGUCCCACCGCCCCAUUCCCCAUUCCAGUGACCCAUACUGGUUUAUACUGGUCUAUACUGGUCCAUACUGGUUUAUACUAACCUAUACUGGUCUAUAAUGGUCUAUACUGGUCUAUACUGGUCUGUACUGGUCUGACCUUGACGGAGAUGCUGAAGUGCCCCCAACCCCCUUAACUGGUCCUUACUGGUCCCACCACCCCAUUCCCCGUUCCAGUCACCCUUACUGGUACGUACUGGUUUAUACCAGUCUAUACCGGCCCAUACUGGUCUAUACUGGUCUAUACUGGUUUAUACUGGCCUGACCUUGAUGGAGAUGCUGAAGUGCCCCCAAUCCCCUUAACUGGUCCUUACUGGUCCCACCACCCCAUUCCCCGUUCCAGUGACCCGUACUGGUCCGUACUGGUUUAUACUGCUCUAUACUGGUUUAUACUGGUCUGUACUGGUCUGACAUUGAUGGAGAUGCUGAAGUGCCCCCAACUUCCUUAACUGGUCCUUACUGGUCCCACCGCCCUGCUCCCCAUUCCAGUGACCCAUACUGGGUCGGUGGUGGUGAGAACCCCAACAGGAGCCAGGCAGGGUCUUCCUGCCAUUGGAUGAGUGCUGUGGGAGGUCAGGGAUCCUCACAGAUCCAGAUCACACCAGCACAUU
Molecule: long non-coding RNA, 1021 nt
Organism: Chiroxiphia lanceolata (lance-tailed manakin)
Lineage: Eukaryota; Metazoa; Chordata; Aves; Passeriformes; Pipridae
Exons: 3
Source: RefSeq, a predicted model, not a curated record